AUGGCGAAGCGCCGCCUCCUCGGCUCCAGCUCCGUUGGCCGUCCCGGCCACGUCCUCCUUUGCACACGUGGGUGGCGCGCUAGCAAGCUGGACGUUGUCCGCUGUAUCACCGCGCGCACCACAACGGAAGCUAUGGGAUCCAUGAAGGUGACAAUCCUCAUCAAAGAUCUGCCACCGCUCUCCUACUUCCAUGUUAGCUGCCCCGACCUCGAAGAGGACCACUUCACCCAAAGCCCGGAGAUCCUAUGGUCGUCGGAGUACUGCAUCCUCUUCCGUAUGUUCCCCCGUUCCGGCCGACCACAGUUCUUCAUCUGUAGGGACGAACAGCCCGGGUGCAAGCCGUCGCUUGAUCCGCUCCCUCAACUCGACUCGCAUUUGGCUAGUGAGAGCAUUAGUCCAUACCUCGUCGGGGUCGUUCCCGACUUCGACAGCCAGAACUAUGUCUUGGCCGCUUUCCGAAUGGAUUGUGUUUCACGGAUAUACACACUCCACGUCUUCAGGUCCAAAGGGUCUGUCUGGAGCAAACAUAUUCUUGCCAUCGAUCUUCCUUCCUGGAUAUAUACGAUUCGUCCAGGGCUUUUUCCGGAUAAGGUGAUUGCCUUAGGUGAAGAGGUGGGCUAUGUCGAUCUCUGGAAAGGGAUUCUCUUCUGCAACGUGCUCGAAGAACAGGUGACGGCACGUUUCGUUCCAUUGCCUGACCCACUACCAAACAAUCAAGAAUACUACGACGAAUUUUCAUCAAUUGAAAUACGCGAUGUCACAUGCACUGAAUCCCCUGAUGGCUUCAUAAUCAGAUGUGUUGAGAUGGAAGAUUUAUUCAGUUCCACAACCACCAUCCCUGAAGCCAAUGUAAUAUUUGAUUCUGAUGUUGAUCCAACCAAGAAGGUGGUAGAACCCGAAUGUGUUGGCUGGAGGCUUGUGACAUGGUAUAGGGAGACCUCUUGGAACUAUUGGUCCAAGGAGCAUGUAGUUAAUGUUGAUGACCUCGGAGCUGACUGGUUGCUUCCUUCUAAUCCAUCGUGCGUGCAAUCUUCUUUUCCCAUCCUGUGUGGUGAUGAUGCAGUUUGCCUCCUCUCCAUGAGUGAUGAUUCGGAUGGUGAUGGUUGGAUUGUCACUAUUGACAUAGAGAGGAAAAAAGUGAGAGGGAUAAUAGAAUCUUCUUGUGACCGAUACAUGCUUUUCAGCUCAGCCAUUUCCUGUGCGUCAAAGAAAUAUCCAGGUGGUGAUGCCUUAAGCGCUGGACAAGGAUCUGCGGUCAUUCGAAGCAUGGAUGAUUUAAGUUAG
RNAcentral lists this ribosomal RNA (1284 nucleotides) under Triticum aestivum (bread wheat). RNAcentral describes it as "partial small subunit ribosomal RNA". The record is from RNAcentral. Lineage: Eukaryota; Viridiplantae; Streptophyta; Magnoliopsida; Poales; Poaceae.